This is a transfer RNA of Verticillium dahliae VdLs.17, 72 nucleotides long. It matches the Rfam family "tRNA". Rfam says of the family: Transfer RNA (tRNA) molecules are approximately 80 nucleotides in length. Their secondary structure includes four short double-helical elements and three loops (D, anti-codon, and T loops). The record is from Rfam. NCBI's taxonomy places the organism in Eukaryota, Fungi, Ascomycota, Sordariomycetes, Glomerellales, Plectosphaerellaceae.
GAUUCUUUAACUCAAUCGGUAGAGUGCAAUUUUGAUAAGAUUGUGAUCCAAGUUCGAUUCUUGGAAGAAUUA